ACCUGGCUGGCUCAGUCAGUGGAGCAUGCAACUCUUGAUCUCAGGGUUGUGAGUUCAAGCCCCACGUUGGGUG
RNAcentral lists this transfer RNA (73 nucleotides) under Ursus americanus (American black bear). It matches the Rfam family "tRNA". From Rfam's summary of the family: Transfer RNA (tRNA) molecules are approximately 80 nucleotides in length. Their secondary structure includes four short double-helical elements and three loops (D, anti-codon, and T loops). The record is from Rfam by way of RNAcentral. Lineage: Eukaryota; Metazoa; Chordata; Mammalia; Carnivora; Ursidae. RNAcentral also lists the same sequence under 2 other names.